GAAAGGGAAGAGGAAGGAAGUCUUCCCUACUGCUUUAUUGGAGAAGCUCUGAUCUUUUCCAUUGCCAUUGCUUUUGAACUUUUGUCUCUUUCAGGCUUCGGACAAAAUUCUUUAGCCUUCCAACAUGGACCCUUCAGCUUUUAGACUCGGACUCACACGAGACUUUGCGCUUUUUAAUUCACAGUCCUGAACACCCCCAAAUGGCCAAGUCUGUUUCCAGUUGGAAGUCACUCAAUAAAGGCAUCUGUGAAGAAAACCAAGGACUUUAGAAAGACAUCGAAGCAAAACCACUCUACUCCAGGAAGGGAUCCAAGGCAAGUGGAAGAGGAUGGGACCUGUCCCACCAUCCCCUUCCAGGGCAGCCUCAGUGAUGCUAAAAGUCUCACCCCUUCUCAGUCCCAUCACCUAGGGAGCAGCAUGGGGGACACUUAAGACCCCAACUAUAGCACUAUGGUCCCAUCUAGUUCUUUUAAAAACAGCAGUAUUCUAAACCACCAAAGACUUUCUUCUGGAGAGACAUGUUUUAAAUCUCUUUU
This is a long non-coding RNA of Fukomys damarensis (Damara mole-rat), 536 nucleotides long. RefSeq lists it as uncharacterized. The record is from RefSeq and is a predicted model, not a curated record. NCBI's taxonomy places the organism in Eukaryota, Metazoa, Chordata, Mammalia, Rodentia, Bathyergidae. The transcript has 3 exons.